RNAcentral lists this transfer RNA (66 nucleotides) under Hespera obesula. RNAcentral's name for it is "tRNA-Tyr". Lineage: Eukaryota; Metazoa; Arthropoda; Insecta; Coleoptera; Chrysomelidae. The record is from RNAcentral.
GGUAAAAUGGCUGAGAUUUUAGGCGAUAAAUUGUAAAUUUAUUCACGAAUUAUAAUUCUUUUACCA